GGGGGGGGCAAGCGUUGUUCGGAUUUACUGGGCGUAAAGGGCUCGUAGGCGGCCAUCUAAGUCGGUUGUGAAAUCCCUCGGCUCAACCGGGGAACUGCGACCGAUACUGGAUGGCUUGAAGCCGGGAGAGGGAUGCGGAAUUCCAGGUGUAGCGGUGAAAUGCGUAGAUAUCUGGAGGAACACCCGUGGCGAAGGCGGCAUCCUGGACCGGUCUUGACGCUGAGGAGCGAAAGCUAGGGUAGCAAACGGGAUUAGAUACCCCGGGUAGUCCUAGCCCUAAACGAUGAAUGCUUGGUGUGGCGGGUAUCGAUCCCCUGCCGUGCCGUAGCUAACGCGUUAAGCAUUCCGCCUGGGGAGUACGGUCGCAAGGCUG
RNAcentral lists this ribosomal RNA (373 nucleotides) under uncultured organism. RNAcentral describes it as "partial 16S ribosomal RNA". It matches the Rfam family "Bacterial small subunit ribosomal RNA", at positions 527 to 896 of the family's 1533-position model. The record is from RNAcentral.